Molecule: small nucleolar RNA, 107 nt
Organism: Dioscorea cayenensis subsp. rotundata (Guinea yam)
Lineage: Eukaryota; Viridiplantae; Streptophyta; Magnoliopsida; Dioscoreales; Dioscoreaceae
Source: RefSeq, a predicted model, not a curated record
AAACCAUGGUGAGGACAUCUCCUGAAAAGAUCCUUGAACCUUUCAUGGGCUUCAAAGAGUGUUUCUGAAUUAGCUUGCCUAAAAGCAAAAAUCUUUUGUCUCAGUUU